RNAcentral lists this ribosomal RNA (465 nucleotides) under uncultured Klebsiella sp. Its description in RNAcentral is "bacterial SSU rRNA". It matches the Rfam family "Bacterial small subunit ribosomal RNA", at positions 338 to 795 of the family's 1533-position model. Lineage: Bacteria; Pseudomonadati; Pseudomonadota; Gammaproteobacteria; Enterobacterales; Enterobacteriaceae. The record is from RNAcentral.
CCUACGGGUGGCUGCAGUGGGGAAUAUUGCACAAUGGGCGCAAGCCUGAUGCAGCCAUGCCGCGUGUGUGAAGAAGGCCUUCGGGUUGUAAAGCACUUUCAGCGGGGAGGAAGGCGUUAAGGUUAAUAACCUUGUCGAUUGACGUUACCUGCAGAAGAAGCACCGGCUAACUCCGUGCCAGCAGCCGCGGUAAUACGGAGGGUGCAAGCGUUAAUCGGAAUUACUGGGCGUAAAGCGCACGCAGGCGGUCUGUCAAGUCGGAUGUGAAAUCCCCGGGCUCAACCUGGGAACUGCAUUCGAAACUGGCAGGCUAGAGUCUUGUAGAGGGGGGUAGAAUUCCAGGUGUAGCGGUGAAAUGCGUAGAGAUCUGGAGGAAUACCGGUGGCGAAGGCGGCCCCCUGGACAAAGACUGACGCUCAGGUGCGAAAGCGUGGGGAGCAAACAGGAUUAGAUACCCCUGUAGUC